Molecule: ribosomal RNA, 253 nt
Filed under: uncultured bacterium
Lineage: Bacteria
Description: partial 16S ribosomal RNA
Rfam family: Bacterial small subunit ribosomal RNA
Source: RNAcentral
UACGAAGGGGGCUAGCGUUGCUCGGAAUUACUGGGCGUAAAGGGCGCGUAGGCGGACAGUUUAGUCAGAGGUGAAAGCCCAGGGCUCAACCUUGGAAUUGCCUUUGAUACUGGCUGUCUUGAGUUCGGGAGAGGUGAGUGGAAUGCCGAGUGUAGAGGUGAAAUUCGUAGAUAUUCGGCGGAACGCCAGUGGCGAAGGCGACUCACUGGCCCGAUACUGACGCUGAGGCGCGAAAGCGUGGGGAGCAAACAGG